UUUCCGUAGGUGAACCUGAGGAAGGAUCAUUAUUGUAUAAUCGAGGUGCGAGGGCUGUCGCUGACCCGAAAGUUCGUGCACGCCCGAGUGCUCUCACACACAUCCAUCUCACCCCUAUGUGCACCACCGCGUGGGUCCCCCUUUGGCUUGUUCGGAGGGGGGCUUACGUUUUCACACAAACUUUGUAUGCAGUGUAGAAUGUAUUUUUUGUUUUUGCGAUCACGCAAUCAAUACAACUUUCAACAACGGAUCUCUUGGCUCUC
RNAcentral lists this unclassified non-coding RNA (263 nucleotides) under plant metagenome. Its description in RNAcentral is "partial contains small subunit ribosomal RNA, internal transcribed spacer 1, and 5.8S ribosomal RNA". The record is from RNAcentral.